This 26-nucleotide non-coding RNA is filed under the name Homo sapiens (human). The record is from RNAcentral. Lineage: Eukaryota; Metazoa; Chordata; Mammalia; Primates; Hominidae.
UUGCCUUUGAUAAGGAAAGUGGUGGG